This 62-nucleotide small RNA is filed under the name unclassified sequences. RNAcentral's name for it is "DUF2815 RNA". It matches the Rfam family "DUF2815 RNA". The record is from Rfam by way of RNAcentral.
AGGGUAACGAUGCGGCCCCUAAAGUCCGCGUCACUUAAAAAGGUAAAAAGGUAAAAAUUAUG